This 347-nucleotide long non-coding RNA is filed under the name Mytilus galloprovincialis (Mediterranean mussel). Lineage: Eukaryota; Metazoa; Mollusca; Bivalvia; Mytilida; Mytilidae. The record is from RNAcentral.
GGGGGUCAUAUUCAGAAUUUUUUUUACAUGUUUAUUUUAUUUUUGAACGCAAUCGAUCAGAUUAUUUUUAACACUUUAAAAGUUUUUGGGGAAUUUGCAUACAGAAUAUGACUAGAAUAUUUUUUUUCAUCAAAUUAGGGAUCAGAAUAUUUUUGUAUCCCCCUUGUUUUUUUUUAAUUUAAAUGGUCGUUCCCUUACAUAAUUUAAAUUUUGCAUAGCUUCCCUAGAACUUAAGAAAUAUUUUUUUUUAAAUGUUCUGUUACUUUUUUUUUUUGGGUCCAUACCGUACCGGCUCAAGCGAGAAAAUCAAUCUCGUUGAGAUGAUCAACGAAAACUAUAAUUGUAAG